AGUUCCUUUAAAACAGUCCCGUGAGGCUGGCAAGGAAGUAGGGCGCUGUUUGCCCUGCUUGUCGAACGAAGCGAAAAGCUUCUUGCCUAUGCCCGCCUCACGCGGCAGCUUGGCAAGAAGCUUUUUUUGU
Brevibacillus borstelensis AK1 is the source of this 130-nucleotide regulatory RNA element. It matches the Rfam family "PyrR binding site". Rfam says of the family: This family represents the PyrR binding site and terminator structure. This RNA structure is found upstream of a variety of genes involved in pyrimidine biosynthesis and transport. Lineage: Bacteria; Bacillati; Bacillota; Bacilli; Caryophanales; Paenibacillaceae. The record is from Rfam.